CCUGCAGACAAGUGGCACUCCCUUCGGCACAGCUGUGGGGCAGACAGAGAGAAUUACAGAGGUGGAACCACUUCAGUCUCCAUAGUCAUAAUAAAUACCGAGCCUCAGCAACUUUCAUGUGACUUCCAGGAGACAGUGGCAGCAGGGGCAAAUGAUUCUUCCUGGAUGGUGACUUUAAAGGCCUUCCUGUGCUUCCUAAGACACAAAAUCCUCUUCUCAGCGCCUGCCUCCUGACCCCAACUCAGGGCUGAGCCACAGAACCAGUGCACUCAUCCCCACAGCACUCCCUGCAGAAGUACCUGCACGUUCGUUUGCUGUGUCCUGAAGUGAACUCAUUUCACUGUGAGUAUCAGGCUAAGUUCUGAGGAUACAAAAAUGGAGGGACAUAGUCUUUGCUUCUUCAGGACACUCUAGAAGUUACAGACAUUUCAUGGACAGAAAAGUGGGAGCCGGAGUGGGCUUGGGGCAUUUAGGGAGGACUUCAUGAUGUUGGUGUGUGAUAUGGAGUCGUGAGCAGAAACACGGUUCCUCACGGAAAGCACACAGGAGCCCCUCAGGUCCUGAGACCUGGGUGUCUGAAGGCCCACGGCACGCGUGAACGCAGCCCAGGGUCACUGGGAGUGAGGGGCGAGGGGUUUGGCAGGCCAUAAUUGCAAGAGCUAACUCGCUAAAACAUUUACAUGCACACCAAGUGAUGAGGUGUGGACCAGACCACUCGUGAUUACACAGUGUGAGCAUGGUUACUGGGGACCUCAGAAACCUGAGCAGACGAGGCCAUGGGGGGAUCCGGGUGUCAGGAGGCUCACUUUUCAGGCAACGUGGAGGACAGGCGGAGGGGUUGAGAUCAGGAAGACCCAAGAAAAAGGAAUGAAGUAGGUUAGGGUAUGGGGUUGGGGAAGGGAGGGAGAUUCAAGACGGAAUGAAAAGUCAAACUCACCAGGAAUCCAGUAAUGUGACUGGCUUCCUAUGUGCAAACGGGGAGGUGAACACUAAGAUACCUCGGGGGCCACGCAGGCAUUUGUAAGAAAGCUCAGCUGUGGAGGUUUUGAGGUUUCCAAUGAAUAAUCCAUCUUUUUUUCCCCCAGGUUCAAUAGCAACUGAGAGGCAGAUACAGGCAUUGAACUGUAGAGACAAGUCAUGUUGAUGAUUCAUAAGGCUGCCUGCAGAUUGGGCCUUAGGCCAACAGACAUGUGUGUUUGCUAAUCUCCUCUGAUGACUUAGAAAGACCACCCACCGAGCCACAUGGGCACUGGACAAAGGGCCUGCCUCCACGCAGGGAGGGACAAGAGGGGGACAGAAGGCAGGCUUUCUCCGGGAGGCAGCUAUAGUUGUGAUAAGAUUUGAUUAAGCUGGUCUUCCUCUGGAGGAGAUGGGGGUGAGGGGAGGGGGCGCCAGCCUGGCAGUGGAAAGCUAUAAAGGAGGCAGGCCCCUCACCACCCACGGGAGGAUGCAGGCAUCUGAAGCCUGGGACACCUGACCGUCCUCCGUCGUGAGUCCUGUCCAGGCGGCCAAGCUUUGGUGCACAACCGUUUCUGAAAGCAGAUCCUCGUGCUGAUCAUUGCAAAAGAGGUGAAGGCAGACCCAGAGGCCACCAUUUGGAAAAACAAAACAUUUUUAGGAGUUUAACUUUCUAAAAUAAUUCUCAGUGUAGAGUUACACGUGACAAUGUGGCCUGCACUGAGUCCAUCAAAGUUGGAAUUAACUGGUCAUUGGCAUCGGGGAGAAGGAAUAAUGAUGCCCGCAGUCCCUGGACCUUAGAAAAACUAGAGAAAUAGGAACGGAGCACACCAUUAACUAUUCUCAUAAUCACCUCAAUCCGGUAAAAAUAAAAAAGGUCUUCAGACCAGGAAGGCAUGAAGACUCCAGAAACUCUGCAUCAAACCUUUUCCAUUUGCAAUCAAAACCAUCCCUGCUCCUGGCUGCCAGCUCAAAGCAUCCUGUUCCCUUGCCCUCCACAAGACAGCUCCAAACCCCGUGCUGCCAGACAGGGCCGCCCACUUCACCUCGCUGUUACUGUCGUUCCUCUCGGCCCUGAUGACGCUGUCUCUGUCUCCAUCACUGAUCUUGUCCCACUUCCUGGAAGUCUCAGGACAUCCACAGGUGCCUCUUCCAACCCCCUCACCCCCCAGGCUCUCGGGCCCCUCUCUCCCCGGGGAACUGCAGAAUCCCGAGCUGCUUCCUCUGUAGCUACCACCUCUCCCCUUGUCAGCAGCCCCGGGCCCCUGCCCAGUGGACGCGAUUGCCUCCCG
Molecule: long non-coding RNA, 2249 nt
Organism: Cercocebus atys (sooty mangabey)
Lineage: Eukaryota; Metazoa; Chordata; Mammalia; Primates; Cercopithecidae
Exons: 3
Source: RefSeq, a predicted model, not a curated record